AACCUGGGAACUGCAUUCGAAACUGGCAGGCUAGAGUCCUUGUAGAGGGGGGUAGAAUUCCAGGUGUAGCGGUGAAAUGCGUAGAGAUCUGGAGGAAUACCGGUGGCGAAGGCGGCCCCCUGGACAAAGACUGACGCUCAGGUGCGAAAGCGUGGGGAGCAAACAGGAUUAGAUACCCUGGUAGUCCACGCCGUAAACGAUGUCGACUUGGAGGUUGUGCCCUUGAGGCGUGGCUUCCGGAGCUAACGCGUUAAGUCGACCGCCUGGGGAGUACGGCCGCAAGGUUAAAACUCAAAUGAAUUGACGGGGGCCCGCACAAGCGGUGGAGCAUGUGGUUUAAUUCGAUGCAACGCGAAGAACCUUACCUACUCUUGACAUCCAGAGAACUUUCCAGAGAUGCUUUGGUGCCUUCGGGAACUCUGAGACAGGUGCUGCAUGGCUGU
This 443-nucleotide ribosomal RNA is filed under the name Enterobacter sp. RNAcentral's name for it is "bacterial SSU rRNA". It matches the Rfam family "Bacterial small subunit ribosomal RNA", at positions 611 to 1052 of the family's 1533-position model. The record is from RNAcentral. Lineage: Bacteria; Pseudomonadati; Pseudomonadota; Gammaproteobacteria; Enterobacterales; Enterobacteriaceae.